GGGGUUGCUUCGGAAGCCUGGGAUUUUGAAAGUCCUUAAAAAACGUUCAACUCGUUUACCCCA
RNAcentral lists this transfer RNA (63 nucleotides) under Pectinaria gouldii. Its description in RNAcentral is "tRNA-Ser". The record is from RNAcentral. Lineage: Eukaryota; Metazoa; Annelida; Polychaeta; Terebellida; Pectinariidae.